GGACGCGGUGGCGCUUUACCCUGGCAGCAGCGGCCGGUGGCAGCCCGCACCUUCUGUCAGCACUUUCAGAAACGUCCUCCUGGGGCCGGAGGGUCACACCAGUAACAGCUGGGAGGCGCCCCUUUCUCAGCUGCCUGAGCCUUAGCCUGCAGUCGCCUCCACUAAAGAAGCAGCGCUCCCUCCUCCACAGAACUGUACACAGCACCUCUCCUUCCCCCUCCUGACCAAAGAAAAAAAGAGUGCAGAAAAAGAGUGAAAUCCAAAUAAGAUUAUUAGGUGAGUCAAUAGUACUGUACCAAUGUCAAUUUCCUGGUUUUCACAAUAUACUAUAGUUAUGUAAGCUGUUCUCUUUUGGUGAAGUUGGGUGAAGAGUACACAGAAC
This 382-nucleotide long non-coding RNA is filed under the name Microcebus murinus (gray mouse lemur). RNAcentral's name for it is "lncRNA (ENSMICG00000048186.1)". Lineage: Eukaryota; Metazoa; Chordata; Mammalia; Primates; Cheirogaleidae. The record is from RNAcentral.